AUUGAACGCUGGCGGCAGGCCUAACACAUGCAAGUCGAGCGGAUGAAGGGAACUUGCUCCUGGAUUCAGCGGCGGACGGGUGAGUAAUGCCUAGGAAUCUGCCUGGUAGUGGGGGAUAACGUCCGGAAACGGGCGCUAAUACCGCAUACGUCCUGAGGGAGAAAGUGGGGGAUCUUCGGACCUCACGCUAUCAGAUGAGCCUAGGUCGGAUUAGCUAGUUGGUGGGGUAAAGGCCUACCAAGGCGACGAUCCGUAACUGGUCUGAGAGGAUGAUCAGUCACACUGGAACUGAGACACGGUCCAGACUCCUACGGGAGGCAGCAGUGGGGAAUAUUGGACAAUGGGCGAAAGCCUGGUCCAGCCAUGCCGCGUGUGUGAAGAAGGUCUUCGGAUUGUAAAGCACUUUAAGUUGGGAGGAAGGGCAGUAAGUUAAUACCUUGCUGUUUUGACGUUACCAACAGAAUAAGCACCGGCUAACUUCGUG
This 484-nucleotide ribosomal RNA is filed under the name uncultured bacterium. RNAcentral's name for it is "partial 16S ribosomal RNA". It matches the Rfam family "Bacterial small subunit ribosomal RNA", at positions 30 to 507 of the family's 1533-position model. The record is from RNAcentral.